This 642-nucleotide ribosomal RNA is filed under the name Debaryomyces hansenii. Its description in RNAcentral is "eukaryotic LSU rRNA". The stretch from base 242 to 395 matches the Rfam family "5.8S ribosomal RNA". The record is from RNAcentral. Lineage: Eukaryota; Fungi; Ascomycota; Pichiomycetes; Serinales; Debaryomycetaceae.
UGAACAAGGUUUCCGUAGGUGAACCUGCGGGAGGGUCAUUACAGUAUUCUUUUUGCCAGCGCUUAAUUGCGCGGCGAAAAAACCUUACACACAGUGUUUUUUGUUAUUACAAGAACUCUUGCUUUGGUCUGGGCUAGAAAUAGUUUGGGCCAGAGGUUUACUAAACUAAACUUCAAUAUUUAUAUUGAAUUGUUAUUUAUUUUAAUUGUCAAUUUGUUGAUUAAAUUCAAAAAAUCUUCAAAACUUUCAACAACGGGUCUCUUGGUUCUCGCAUCGAUGAAGAACGCAGCGAAAUGCGAUAAGUAAUAUGAAUUGCAGAUUUUCGUGAAUCAUCGAAUCUUUGAACGCACAUUGCGCCCUUUGGUAUUCCAAAGGGCAUGCCUGUUUGAGCGUCAUUUCUCUCUCAAACCUUCGGGUUUGGUAUUGAGUGAUACUCUUAGUCGAACUAGGCGUUUGCUUGAAAUGUAUUGGCAUGAGUGGUACUGGGUAGUGCUAUAUGACUUUCAAUGUAUUAGGUUUAUCCAACUCGUUGAAUAGUUUAAUGGUAUAUUUCUCGGUAUUCUAGGCUCGGCCUUACAAUAUAACAAACAAGUUUGACCUCAAAUCAGGUAGGGCUACCCGCUGAACUUAAGCAUAUCAAAA